This 253-nucleotide ribosomal RNA is filed under the name uncultured bacterium. Its description in RNAcentral is "partial 16S ribosomal RNA". It matches the Rfam family "Bacterial small subunit ribosomal RNA", at positions 524 to 776 of the family's 1533-position model. The record is from RNAcentral.
UACAGAGGGUGCGAGCGUUAUUCGGAAUUACUGGGCGUAAAGCGUGCGUAGGCGGUUGUGCAAGACAGAUGUGAAAUCCCCGGGCUCAACCUGGGAACUGCAUUUGUGACUGCACAGCUUGAGUGCGGCAGAGGGGGAUGGAAUUCCGCGUGUAGCAGUGAAAUGCGUAGAUAUGCGGAGGAACACCGAUGGCGAAGGCAAUCCCCUGGGCCUGCACUGACGCUCAUGCACGAAAGCGUGGGGAGCAAACAGG